CCUACGGGGGGCAGCAGUGGGGAAUAUUGGACAAUGGGGGGAACCCUGAUCCAGCCGUGCCGCGUGUGUGAAGAAGGCCCUCGGGGUGUAAAGCACUUUCAGUGAGGAAGAACGCCUGGUGGUUAAUACCCAUCAGGAAAGACAUCACUCACAGAAGAAGCACCGGCUAACUCCGUGCCAGCAGCCGCGGUAAUACGGAGGGUGCGAGCGUUAAUCGGAAUUACUGGGCGUAAAGCGCGCGUAGGUGGCUUGAUAAGCCGGUUGUGAAAGCCCCGGGCUCAACCUGGGAACGGCAUCCGGAACUGUCAAGCUAGAGUGCAGGAGAGGAAGGUAGAAUUCCCGGUGUAGCGGUGAAAUGCGUAGAGAUCGGGAGGAAUACCAGUGGCGAAGGCGGCCUUCUGGACUGACACUGACACUGAGGUGCGAAAGCGUGGGUAGCAAACAGGAUUAGAUACCCUUGUAGUC
RNAcentral lists this ribosomal RNA (465 nucleotides) under Vreelandella stevensii. RNAcentral's name for it is "partial 16S ribosomal RNA". It matches the Rfam family "Bacterial small subunit ribosomal RNA", at positions 338 to 795 of the family's 1533-position model. The record is from RNAcentral. Lineage: Bacteria; Pseudomonadati; Pseudomonadota; Gammaproteobacteria; Oceanospirillales; Halomonadaceae.